CUACGGGAUGCACCAGUGGGGAAUAUUGGGCAAUGGGCGCAAGCCUGACCCAGCAACGCCGCGUGAGGGAAGAAGGUUUUCGGAUUGUAAACCUCUGUCCUUGGGGACGAAGAAGUGACGGUACCCAAGGAGGAAGCUCCGGCUAACUACGUGCCAGCAGCCGCGGUAAUACGUAGGGAGCAAGCGUUGUCCGGAAUUACUGGGCGUAAGGGGUGCGUAGGCGGCAUAUUAAGUCAGGUGUGAAAUACUCGGGCUCAACCCGGGGGCUGCAUUUGAAACUGAUAUGCUUGAGUGUGAGAGAGGAAAGUGGAAUUCCUAGUGUAGCGGUGGAAUGCGUAGAUAUUAGGAGGAACACCAGUGGCGAAGGCGACUUUCUGGCUCAUAACUGACGCUGAGGCACGAAAGCGUGGGGAGCAAACAGGAUUAGAUACCCUGGUAGUC
This 441-nucleotide ribosomal RNA is filed under the name uncultured bacterium. RNAcentral describes it as "partial 16S ribosomal RNA". It matches the Rfam family "Bacterial small subunit ribosomal RNA", at positions 339 to 795 of the family's 1533-position model. The record is from RNAcentral.